CAGGGUGGAUACCUAUACAGACCCUCAUUCUUCUGGCCCGCACCCCCUCCAAACCCACAGGAACUUCCACCUCCAUCUCAAGAGCUACCUUCUGAAGGAAACUAAAGAAGAGGAAGCCCUUCAGAUCCCUCUGCCACUGGGACAGCAUGGCCAUAUCUACCAUGUCCCCAGUACCCCAAU
This is a long non-coding RNA of Dipodomys ordii (Ord's kangaroo rat), 180 nucleotides long. RefSeq lists it as uncharacterized. The record is from RefSeq and is a predicted model, not a curated record. Lineage: Eukaryota; Metazoa; Chordata; Mammalia; Rodentia; Heteromyidae. The transcript has 2 exons.